GAUGAACGCUGGCGGCGUGCCUAAUACAUGCAAGUCAAGCGAACAGACGAGGAGCUUGCUCCUUUGACGUUAGCGGCGGACGGGUGAGUAACACGUGGGUAACCUACCUAUAAGACUGGGAUAACUUCGGGAAACCGGAGCUAAUACCGGAUAAUAUUUCGAACCGCAUGGUUCGAUAGUGAAAGAUGGCUUUGCUAUCACUUAUAGAUGGACCUGCGCCGUAUUAGCUAGUUGGUAAGGUAACGGCUUACCAAGGCAACGAUACGUAGCCGACCUGAGAGGGUGAUCGGCCACACUGGAACUGAGACACGGUCCAGACUCCUACGGGAGGCAGCAGUAGGGAAUCUUCCGCAAUGGGCGAAAGCCUGACGGAGCAACGCCGCGUGAGUGAUGAAGGUCUUCGGAUCGUAAAACUCUGUUAUUAGGGAAGAACAAACGUGUAAGUAACUGUGCACGUCUUGACGGUACCUAAUCAGAAAGCCACGGCUAACUACGUG
RNAcentral lists this ribosomal RNA (497 nucleotides) under uncultured bacterium. Its description in RNAcentral is "partial 16S ribosomal RNA". It matches the Rfam family "Bacterial small subunit ribosomal RNA", at positions 28 to 507 of the family's 1533-position model. The record is from RNAcentral.